CCAGGCCCCCUCCAGUUGUGUUUGGGAAAUGUGGGGUAAAUUCCGGAAAGAGCCCCACCCUUUUUCUUUUGUUCCAACGGGUUAAGCCGGGAACUCAAAGGAGACUGCCAGUGACAAACUGGAGGAAGGUGGGGAUGACGUCAAGUCAUCAUGGCCCUUACGACCAGGGCUACACACGUGCUACAAUGGUGUAUACAAAGGGAAGCGACCUAGCGAUAGCAAGCUGACCUCAAAAGUAGGUCGUAGUCCGGAUUGGAGUCUGCAACUCGACUCCAUGAAGUGGAAUCGCUAGUAAUCGUAGAUCAGAAGCCACGGUGAAUACGUUCCCGGGCCUUGUACACACCCCCCGUCACCCCAGGGGAGUGGGUGGCAAAAGAAGUAGUUGGCUAACCCCAAGGAGGGCGCUACCCACGUCG
RNAcentral lists this ribosomal RNA (416 nucleotides) under bacterium 28S412. RNAcentral's name for it is "bacterial SSU rRNA". It matches the Rfam family "Bacterial small subunit ribosomal RNA", at positions 1044 to 1464 of the family's 1533-position model. The record is from RNAcentral.